RNAcentral lists this ribosomal RNA (293 nucleotides) under uncultured bacterium. Its description in RNAcentral is "partial 16S ribosomal RNA". It matches the Rfam family "Bacterial small subunit ribosomal RNA", at positions 28 to 318 of the family's 1533-position model. The record is from RNAcentral.
GAUGAACGCUAGCGGCAGGCUUAAUACAUGCAAGUCGAGGGGCAGCGGGAUAGCAAUAUCUGCCGGCGACCGGCAAACGGGUGCGGAACACGUACGCAACCUUCCCGGAACAGGUGAAUAGCCCUGCGAAAGUAGGAUUAAUACACCGUAUGAUACAGGAGUGGCGUCACUCUUAUAUUAAAGGUAGCAAUACCGGUUCUGGAUGGGCGUGCGCCUGAUUAGGUAGUUGGGUGGUAUCGCCCACAAGCCUUCGAUCAGUAACUGGUGUGAGAGCACGACCAGUCACGACGGGC